UGGGCGGGGACGGUGGCGGCGGCUCCGGCUUUGGGGAGGGGGUGCGGCGCUGGGCCCCCUUAGCUGGAGUGCAGGCUCCGCCCACCCUUUGGGUCUAACCUCCGCGUUCCAAAGUUCCAGCUCCAGCCCUGCGCACUUGGGGACUUCUGCGUGAGGGUCUCUCGCCCCGGCCACAAAUCCCGAGCCGCACCUCUUAAUCGAGGCUCAGGCGUCCCGAGCGGAUCCCGCUUUCUUUUUUCCCUGUGCUGUUUGCAGUCCCACGGCCUCGCACAGAGAAAGUGCCUGACCCCAAGACCUGUGAUGAGACCGCCUAUUUUGUUUUUGUUAUAUACUAAUAGAUAUAGAUAUAUAGAUACAGUCAAUUAUCUGUAAAAUCGGCCAUGUCUCUGCCACCUGGGUAAAAAGGUGUCUCGAAAUUGGGGGCGGAGUCUCUUUUCUGACCCUACCCAAACGCACACAGAAACAACCCCAACAUUUGCAGAGCCCUUAAGCCUGUACACCCAAUGAGGAAUCGCUGGUUAGAGGCCGCGUGAAGGACACCCUGACCAAGCUGGGUCCUGCCCAUGCCGGUAGAUCGUCCAUGGCUUCCCUUGGGGGCUGCCACCCACUGUAAACCUGAGCAAGUUCCUCUCCUGUUCCGAAGCCUGCCCUGGCAAAGCCCCAGUACAUAUUCCAAUCCUGCUCUAGGGAGACUCCUAUGCAUUCAUCAAGGUCCAGCUCAAAUCUGGCCACCCUCAGUGGCUUUUCCUGACGCUCUCAGCAGAACCAAACCUCCAGCUUUGUUAUGUGUUGGUGUUGCAGUACACAGUGAGUGAGUUCUGUUUGUUUUCCAGGGCGGCAAUGAAAGGGUAGUCAUCAGGGACACAUAGGCUCGGGAAACCAACCCCCCUGGGUUCAGAGUGGGCUCGUUGCUAGCUGUGUGCUCCACUGUCUGUGCCUUCAUAUCUAUGGUGCGGGAGUUAAAGGAAUCAAUAGGUGGAAGGUGCAUGUACCAGUGCCUGGCACUGAUGUACAUUCAAUCAAAGUUAGCUACCGUUGCCAGCUUUGCCAAAACGGGGUACUUGGGGGCGAGGAGGAGUGGCUGGAGGCUGGGGUUGGGGUGGCUUCUGGGUUUCUGGUGCUGUUUUAAUCUCGACCUGGGCACUGGUUUUAGUUUGUGAAAAAUCAUUGAGUUGCAUACUUAGAAUAUGUGCACUUUUCCAUAUGUCCAUCAUACAUUAAUAAAAAGUGUUUCUAGAAGUUAGUUGUUUUUCACUAAGAGCAGGACAGCCCUCAUCUCCUUGAGAACAAGAACAAAGCCUGACAUCCCAGCAGCUUGCACAGUGCUGGCGGGGCACGCUGUAAGUGCUCAGCUGAUGGUUGUUGAAUUGCUCUGAAUGGAUUGUGAGCAAGAGACCAGCAGGGGUGGAGGCUGACAGGAGAGACAGCGCCUGCCUCUGUACUCUAAAGUGCCGGGGAACUCGUGGUGAUUUGGAUCCAGUUCAGGCACCUGAAGCCCAGUUAAAGAGAAGGAAUCUUCAGUCUUUUCUCUCUCAGCAGAUACAGCCGGGCACGGUGGCUCACACCUGUAAUCCCA
RNAcentral lists this long non-coding RNA (1576 nucleotides) under Homo sapiens (human). Its description in RNAcentral is "HSALNT0290103". Lineage: Eukaryota; Metazoa; Chordata; Mammalia; Primates; Hominidae. The record is from RNAcentral.